GCUUUCAGGGCUGACUUCUCUCAGGGCUCUAUCUGACAUUGCAGUGACUGCUUUUGGAACACUUGGAUUCAUCCACUUUCCUGAUCCCCACAAACAUCACCUGUAACUUCAUGUCUGCAGGAGCAUCAGCGUCUAUGUAAAAGAAGAGUUCAAGAAGCAUGGAUUCAGAGGCUGAGUUCAGAUGGAUUCUUAAAACUGAAACUGUUAACGUAUUUUUGGAACAAAACUUACUCAGGAGGAAAACUGGAUCAUGUGGACUUCUCUGAAGCAGGUAAAGUAAAACACUUUUUAUUUCAAGAAAUAUUGCUUCUAGACUUUCCCGAAGCCAGAAUUGUACUAUAAAAGUAUCACAGAAAUAUUAUACAAGAUUUAAAAACACAGUUUGUAUCCUAGUAACUUAAAACCUAUGUACAAAUAGCAUCAUUCAUGACCAUAAAUACGUUUUUCUAUCAAUCAGCCCAUGACACAUACAUCAGAUAAAGAACUAGUAAUUUUAACAUAUUUACAGAGUCCAUCAAAAAGACUGCUUCUUAAAAUUAUUAAAAUCCUACUAAAAGAAUCUCCUUUUUAACAAGUUUCAACUUAAAAUACAAUGUAAUGGAUGUAAGUUUAACCUGCAGUGCUUGCAAUAGCAAAAAAAAA
Cyanistes caeruleus (blue tit) is the source of this 642-nucleotide non-coding RNA. NCBI's taxonomy places the organism in Eukaryota, Metazoa, Chordata, Aves, Passeriformes, Paridae. The record is from RefSeq and is a predicted model, not a curated record.